This 200-nucleotide ribosomal RNA is filed under the name uncultured bacterium. RNAcentral describes it as "partial 16S ribosomal RNA". It matches the Rfam family "Bacterial small subunit ribosomal RNA", at positions 524 to 723 of the family's 1533-position model. The record is from RNAcentral.
UACGUAGGGGGCAAGCGUUGUCCGGAUUUAUUGGCGUAAAGAGCGUGUAGGCGGCCUGAAAGGUCAGCUGUGAAAACUCGAGGCUCAACCUUGAGACGUCGGUUGAAACCAUCUGGCUAGAGUCCGGAAGAGGAGUGUGGAAUUCCCGGUGUAGCGGUGAAAUGCGCAGAUAUCAGGAAGAACACCCGUGGCGGAAGGCG